UUAAGAAAUGUGUAUCUGCUGUAAAUAUGGACGCAGAUCAAUGUGUAGGCUUUAGGAGGGCAUGUAAAGAGUCUUUAUUGCCCUUAAAGAUCCCUUCAGACAUGG
Small nucleolar RNA from Ipomoea nil (Japanese morning glory), 105 nucleotides. NCBI's taxonomy places the organism in Eukaryota, Viridiplantae, Streptophyta, Magnoliopsida, Solanales, Convolvulaceae. The record is from Rfam.